Long non-coding RNA from Bacillus rossius redtenbacheri, 468 nucleotides. RefSeq lists it as uncharacterized. The transcript has 2 exons. The record is from RefSeq and is a predicted model, not a curated record. Lineage: Eukaryota; Metazoa; Arthropoda; Insecta; Phasmatodea; Bacillidae.
UACGAGCACACACUUUGCGUUAUAAGUUGCGAUAAAUAACGAAGGUUUGCGAAGAAUAUCGCAGGAACCAGCAACGUGAUUACGAACACAUCCUGUUUCGUUAAACUUCGAAUAUUGAUGACGUUGUGGCGGUAUAUAUCGCAAACUUUGAUUACGAGCACACUUUUCAAGUGAUAUUUAUCGCACCGUAGCUACGUUAUAUAUCACGAGCAUUUCAACUGGUGAUACGAAGCGAAUGUGAGGUUCUACACAAUGGCCUUUGCUGCCUUUCUGCUAGCUAUCGAACUGGAGGAGAAGGCAGAGAAGAUUGUUAAGAAACCAUCAAAAUCCCUUCGAAUUGCCAGAUUGCACCCUCAUAGCAGUUGGAAAACCUUAGAAAAUGAAGAAACAUGAAGAAACGAGCUAUGCAAUUUAAUAAAUACUUUGUUAUCAAGUUUGUUGCAUUUAUUAAAGAAAUUGUGAAAAUAA